GCACGGCUGAGGAACACGUGACUAACCUACCCCGGUGUGGGGGAUAACGGGUCGAAAGACUCGCUAAUCCCGCAUACGAUCCGCCUCGGCGGAGGAAAGCCGUAAGGCGCACUGGGCGGGGGUCGCGUCCCAUUAGAUAGUUGGUGUGGUAAUGGCGCACCAAGUCGAUGAUGGGUCUCUGGUCUGAGAGGACGACCAGACAGAUUGGGACUGAGACACGGCCCAAACUCCUACGGGGGGCAGCAGCAAGGAAUUUUCGGCAAUGGGCGCAAGCCUGACCGAGCAACGCCGCGUGGAGGAUGACGGCUCUUGGGUUGUAAACUCCUUUUGGGGGGGACGAUAAUGACGGUACCCUCCGAAUCAGGCCCGGCUAACUACGUGCCAGCAGCCGCGGUAAUACGUAGGGGCCAAGCGUUGUCCGGAAUUACUGGGCGUAAAGCGUGGGUAGGUGGUCGGUGAUGUGCCGCGUGAAAGCGCCGGAGUAAUGCCGGCGAGGUCGCGGUAGACACACGGACUCGAGGCUCGCAGAGGAACGUGGAAUUCCCGGUGUAGUGGUGAAAUGCGUAGAUAUCGGGAGGAACACCAGUGGCGCAAGCGGCGUUCUGGGCGAGACCUGACACUGAGCCACGACGGCGUGGGAGCAAACAGGAUUAGAUACCCUGGUAGUCCACGCAGUAAACGAUGCAUACCAGGUGUGGGAUGGCGUUCGCGUCGUUCCGUGCCGCAGCUUACGCGAUGAGUAUGCCGCCUGGGGACUACGAGCGCAAGCUUAAAACUCAAAGGAAUUGACGGGGGCCCGCACAAGCAGC
RNAcentral lists this ribosomal RNA (809 nucleotides) under uncultured bacterium. RNAcentral's name for it is "bacterial SSU rRNA". It matches the Rfam family "Bacterial small subunit ribosomal RNA", at positions 100 to 933 of the family's 1533-position model. The record is from RNAcentral.